CCUUUGGAGCGGAGGAUAUUACG
This 23-nucleotide ribosomal RNA is filed under the name Trichoderma asperellum. RNAcentral describes it as "partial 18S ribosomal RNA". The record is from RNAcentral. Lineage: Eukaryota; Fungi; Ascomycota; Sordariomycetes; Hypocreales; Hypocreaceae.